ACAACUGGCUCAGAGAUGAGAGCGUUCUGAUCCGUUUUUUUUUUUUUUUUUCUUCUUCUUCCCUUCCUUGUUGUCGAGCAUCUGUAAGGCUGCGCUGUACCUGCCUGCAGAUCGAGGGGGGCUGGGAAGCGACCGGUCAGGACCGGUCCGGCACGCUGGGGGCACAGGGGUAACGGGCUGCACUCUGCUCCGCCGCGGUUUUCCCCCCAGCAGGCUAAACCCCGUAUACAUCAACUGUGGACGGAGGCAAGGCGGGCUUAUCACCCAAGGCAUAUCAGAGCCCAACAUCAGACGGCACCCUGGCUUUGUGCUCAGUAGGAGGGCGCGUCUGCAGCAGGACUGAAGGGGGAACACUCAUUACUCUUGGAUAUGUGCCAGUGAAACAGCCUGGGCUUAGGCACUGAACACGGGAGCGAUGGGAAUCGUAUGGAUGGAAAUCAGGGGUCCGGGGAUGGAGGCUGGCUGCAGAAUGCUGAUGUUCCAGAAAAGCCAUUGAUGGGGCCUUGCCUUGAGAUACAGGGCAUCUUCAAUCAAUCAUUUCAAAACUGCUCGCUGUUGCCAAAUGGUUGAGGAUCAUGCAGUAUCUUUCAAUUGGUUUUGCUCCCUUCCUAAAGACUCUCUUCGGUGACGGGUAUUCUUGGGUGGAUAAUACGGAUCACGUUGUUAUUGCUUAAGAAUACGCGUAGUCGAGGAGAGUCAUUUCUUCAGCGACUUCAAGGAACUAAAAUCCAAUGAACUUAAAUCCUAAAGUGCUCAGCUGCCUGGUCUCUUUAUAUUGUAGGCUACAGCACAGAAACAUUGGAGACAGCACCAUGUUCCAUUUUUCAAGAUACAUCACCAUUCCUUGUUUAUUUCUGUGCUGUUGAGCCUUUGGAAAUAGUGCAGCUGUACCGACAUUGCCUUUUUCAUUUCUUUUCUCGAUCCAUAGUUGUGAAUGUUUUUUUUUUUCUUCAGAAAAUUAUUUUGGAUGAAUAUUUUGUAAUUAAUUCACUUUGCUGCCAAUGGAGUGUCAUUUACUUUGAGUGCAUGAGUUCAAUACAUUUUAUGUAGGCGUUUACCCAUAUUUUGUUGCUUGAGCUUCAUACACAAUAUACUAUGCUUUGUUUCUUUUGGAGUUUACAGAAUGUUCAAAAGGAAGGUUGUGUUGUAUAUAGAGGUGGCUCAGGCUACAAAUGGAAAUGCAAGUGGUAUUAUUUUUUCGUUAUCUGUCCCCAAGACCAGACAUUUUAUCUUACCGCCUCCAGCCCCACCCCUAGCCCCUCCUUCCCAUGCACACACACGUACACAAGCAUGCACAUGCACAUGCACGUGUAUACGCACACACACACACUCACAGACACACACACACCUUUUUAUGCAAAUUGAUAUUGAAAUUACAUUUCCUGUCCAGAGUUUCCACUCUGUGGAUGGCGGAGCCACAAUGGUCGUGAAACAAAAUGUCCACCAUGUCAGCUACAGCUCAAUUUAUGCAAUGAGAGGCCAAGUGUGUCUGAGCAAAUGACACACUCCAGGUUAGCCACUGCCCCCAUCUCAGCUGAGUGUUGUCACUUUUUCCUAAUGCAUACAUUUUGUUCCUUCCACUGUAUUUUAAUACAGAGCAUAUCUGCUGAAUAUCACCCCAAAUUUAAUGUUUUCUACUAGGCAGUGAUUUCAGUGGUAGAGCUAUAAAGAUUUUCAUGAAUAUAUAUUUAUUUAAUAAUUCCAGAACAUGUAAAAAGAAGCCAUAACCAAAGAUAAUGUGUUCACUUGAUGUUUUUUUUUUUUCAGUUGAAAUAUUUAUUUAUGUUUGUCAAAAUCAAUAAAGCAUUUCUAUUGAUCAAA
Long non-coding RNA from Conger conger (European conger), 1821 nucleotides. RefSeq lists it as uncharacterized. The record is from RefSeq and is a predicted model, not a curated record. Lineage: Eukaryota; Metazoa; Chordata; Actinopteri; Anguilliformes; Congridae. The transcript has 3 exons.